This 156-nucleotide ribosomal RNA is filed under the name Entrophospora claroidea. RNAcentral's name for it is "5.8S ribosomal RNA". It matches the Rfam family "5.8S ribosomal RNA". From Rfam's summary of the family: 5.8S ribosomal RNA (5.8S rRNA) is a component of the large subunit of the eukaryotic ribosome. It is transcribed by RNA polymerase I as part of the 45S precursor that also contains 18S and 28S rRNA. Functionally, it is thought that 5.8S rRNA may be involved in ribosome translocation. The record is from RNAcentral. Lineage: Eukaryota; Fungi; Glomeromycota; Glomeromycetes; Entrophosporales; Entrophosporaceae.
ACUUUCAACAACGGAUCUCUUGGCUCUCGCAUCGAUGAAGAACGCAGCGAAUUGCGAUAAGUAAUGUGAAUUGCAGAAUUACCGUGAAUCAUCGAAUCUUUGAACGCAUAUUGCACUCCCUGGUAAUCCGGGGAGUAUGCCUGUUUGAGGGUCAGU